UACGGGGGGUGCGAGCGUUGUCCGGAAUCACUGGGCGUAAAGGGUGCGUAGGUGGGUUGGUAAGUCCGUGGUGAAAUCUCCGAGCUUAACUCGGAAACUGCCGUGGAUACUAUCAAUCUUGAAUACUGUGGAGGUAAGCGGAAUAUGUCAUGUAGCGGUGAAAUGCUUAGAUAUGACAUAGAACACCGAUAGCGGAGGCAGCUUGCUACACAGUCAUUGACACUGAGGCACGAAAGCGUGGGGAUCAAACAGG
This 253-nucleotide ribosomal RNA is filed under the name uncultured bacterium. Its description in RNAcentral is "partial 16S ribosomal RNA". It matches the Rfam family "Bacterial small subunit ribosomal RNA", at positions 524 to 776 of the family's 1533-position model. The record is from RNAcentral.